Molecule: ribosomal RNA, 484 nt
Filed under: uncultured bacterium
Lineage: Bacteria
Description: bacterial SSU rRNA
Rfam family: Bacterial small subunit ribosomal RNA
Source: RNAcentral
GAUGAACGCUAGCGGCAGGCUUAACACAUGCAAGUCAGGGGUAACGAUGGUGCUUGCACCAGGCGACGACCGGCGCACGGGUGAGUAACGCGUAUGCAACCUACCUUUUAACUGAGGGAUAGCCCAUGGAAACGUGGAUUAAUACCUCAUAAUAUAUAUCAUUCGCAUGUUUGAUAUAUUAAAGUUCCGGCGGUUAAAGAUGGGCAUGCGUGACAUUAGAUAGUUGGUGAGGUAACGGCUCACCAAGUCGACGAUGUCUACGGGGUCUUAAAGGAUGGUCCCGCACACUGGUACUGAGACACGGACCAGACUCCUACGGGAGGCAGCAGUGAGGAAUAUUGGUCAAUGGGCGCAAGCCUGAACCAGCCAUGCCGCGUGGAGGAAGACGGCCCUAUGGGUUGUAAACUCCUUUUAUAUGGGAAUAAUGGCAGUUACGUGUAAUUGUUUGAAGGUACCAUAUGAAUAAGCACCGGCUAACUCCGUG